GGGGCUAUAGCUCAGCUGGGAGAGCGCUUGCCUUGCACGCAGGAGGUCUGCGGUUCGAUCCCGCAUAGCUCCA
RNAcentral lists this transfer RNA (73 nucleotides) under Marinicella litoralis. It matches the Rfam family "tRNA". Rfam says of the family: Transfer RNA (tRNA) molecules are approximately 80 nucleotides in length. The record is from Rfam by way of RNAcentral. Lineage: Bacteria; Pseudomonadati; Pseudomonadota; Gammaproteobacteria; Lysobacterales; Marinicellaceae.